UUCUGAACUAUUCAAACCAAACUCAAGAAGAAAUCAUCCGCCUAAUUUAAACAGAAGAAAUCGACUCCACCGUAUAAUCGUGCUCCAAAGCCCACCGCCACCUGAUGUAAUCGCGGAAAAACAACUCACCAUCCCCGGCGGCGCGUUCCAGCUCCCUUCACCAGGAGACCCACGACACUGCUCGCCUCAGAAACCGGGACCCACCGCCGGCAAUUUCCGUUCUCUACACCUUAG
Molecule: unclassified non-coding RNA, 234 nt
Filed under: Hevea brasiliensis (rubber tree)
Lineage: Eukaryota; Viridiplantae; Streptophyta; Magnoliopsida; Malpighiales; Euphorbiaceae
Source: RNAcentral